AUGUCUGAUCAAGAGAGAAUGGUUUGGAGAAAGAGGAGGAUGAGAGAGAAAGGCUUCUCCUGUAACCGCGCCGCCCCUGCGGCCGGCCGGCCGCGCCCAUCCUCCUCCCCCGCGCGCCUCCCCCUCCCUCUUCCUCCUUGCCGUCGUCGCCGAAGCCCGCUGCGGGCCUGGCCCGGGCGACGCUGGUGGCGGCGGCCCCCUGACCUUUCCCCUCUCGGGGUCCGCCAGCGCGGGACGGGGCGACCCCGAGCGCCACUCACAUACAUACACACAAAAUCAGCACUACUAGCCAGCAGAACUCCAUUUGAGGGCCAGCCGAUGUUGCGCAUUUUUCACUCGAAGAAUGGUAAACUAAAGCCGCAAGAGACUGCAGUGCACGUUUUUCUGUACUUUGAUGUUCGUCUUUCACCUGAAAAAAAGGGCAAGUUUUUUGCUCCAAGAAUCAGCCACUUGGAUGAAAAUGAUGUUCGGUCCACGGCGGCGUCGUCUCGAUCGCUUCUUCUGGUUGUUGAUGUUGCUGUCAGUUUGGCCGCUGUUGGGCGGCUGCGUCGUCGUUUAGGGCAGCUACGGCCUGCUGCAACUCAAGGACUCGGCGAGCUUCAGCACGAUCAGGCCGGAGAGCAGCGUCGUGUAGAUGGCCAACGUGUCCACGUUCUUAAGUCCGCCGAGCUCGCCGGGAGAGGGCCAGAGAUGCUGGUUGAUUCUAUGGUUGCUCCUUCUCCGGUCAUAAUGGUCCUCGGCGCCCCCGCUGCUGCUCAUGAGCACCGCCGUUGCCACCGGCAGCCACCACGGAGGAGGCGGCUGCGCCGUUCUGGCUACUCCAUCGAGGCAGCGAAGCACGCCGAUGCCACCAGCGUGGUGGUUUGGGCCGUUCUGCUGCGUCAGCCGUUUUGUCGGCUCGGCCCGUAUGUAUGGAGCAUGCUCCGGCAUCUGAUGAUCGGCCGUUGUAUCGCGGUGGCCUUCUGCACGCUAGCAAGAUCGUCCCAUGAGCGGCGCUCAAAUUCUGUCAAGGUGGACUUUGUCCGACAGGAGGUACGACACCAGCACGGCACGACGGCUACGGCUACGGGAGGCCUCCAGCCAGUGGUGAUGCCGGUGUUCGGCGAGGUCCUGCCGGCGCGCGCUAAAGAUUCCACGGUUGAUCCUUCUUGCGGCGAGGAAGAGGCCCGCGCAUUGGCGGGCGAAUGGUGGUGGGCUGCAUCACUUAUGGGUGUGCGACGAAGGCGUCAGCGACGGCGAGCGAGACGUGUUGGUGGUCAGUUCACAGGAAGGGCACGACAUGGUGUUCCCCAAGGGCCAGUUGCGCCUGACGAGUCCAUGGACAACGCGGUCCAGCGCAAGGCCCUCGAGGAGGCCAGCGACUGCGCUGACACAGGCAAGGUGCUCCGCUGCUGGCACUACGAGAGGCCUCGAUCUCAAGUGCUGCUCUCCUCUCCUUUGCUUUCUGAAAUUAAUUGA
This 1458-nucleotide ribosomal RNA is filed under the name Triticum aestivum (bread wheat). RNAcentral's name for it is "partial small subunit ribosomal RNA". The record is from RNAcentral. Lineage: Eukaryota; Viridiplantae; Streptophyta; Magnoliopsida; Poales; Poaceae.